Molecule: ribosomal RNA, 468 nt
Filed under: uncultured bacterium
Lineage: Bacteria
Description: partial 16S ribosomal RNA
Rfam family: Bacterial small subunit ribosomal RNA
Source: RNAcentral
GACGAACGCUGGCGGCGUGCUUAACACAUGCAAGUCGAACGGAAAGGCCCUGCUUUUGUGGGGUGCUCGAGUGGCGAACGGGUGAGUAACACGUGAGUAACCUGCCCUUGACUUUGGGAUAACUUCAGGAAACUGGGGCUAAUACCGGAUAGGAGCUCCUGCUGCAUGGUGGGGGUUGGAAAGUUUCGGCGGUUGGGGAUGGACUCGCGGCUUAUCAGCUUGUUGGUGGGGUAGUGGCUUACCAAGGGUUUGACGGGUAGCCGGCCUGAGAGGGUGACCGGCGACAUUGGGACUGAGAUACGGACCAGACUCCUACGGGAGGCAGCAGUGGGGAAUAUUGCACAAUGGGCGGAAGCCUGAUGCAGCAACGCCGCGUGCGGGAUGACGGCCUUCGGGUUGUAAACCGCUUUCGCCUGUGACGAAGCGUGAGUGACGGUAAUGGGUAAAGAAGCACCGGCUAACUACGUG